GCGGCGGCUCACUCCUGGAAUCCCAGCACUUUGGGAGCCCGAGGUGGGCGGAUCACGAGGUCAGGAGAUCGAGACUGUUCUGGCUAAACCAGUGAAACCCCCUCUCUACUAAAAAAAUAACAAAAGCGAAGUGCAUCUCCCAUAAACGAGGUACUGCAGGAAGAAAGCAGAAAAUGAGACCCGAGUACACACAUGCACGCGGGCGUGCGCACACACACACCAGAAGAAAUGAACCAAGAGGAAAGGAAAUAUUUUCAAGUAAGCAUUUGGAGAUGGGAAAAACACCUUGAAACAGAAAUUCAUAAAGUACACACAUGUUUUUUUUUUUAAGUUAAAAGAGGAACAAUAAUAAACAGGCAGAAAAUGAAUAAAAAAUAAAAUGUCAUAUCAGAAGUGAAGAUAAAUUAAAA
This 410-nucleotide long non-coding RNA is filed under the name Homo sapiens (human). RNAcentral describes it as "HSALNT0398367". The record is from RNAcentral. Lineage: Eukaryota; Metazoa; Chordata; Mammalia; Primates; Hominidae.